RNAcentral lists this ribosomal RNA (439 nucleotides) under uncultured bacterium. RNAcentral describes it as "bacterial SSU rRNA". It matches the Rfam family "Bacterial small subunit ribosomal RNA", at positions 958 to 1398 of the family's 1533-position model. The record is from RNAcentral.
AACGCGAAGAACCUUACCUGGGCUUGACAUGUCCCUGACCGCCGUGGAAACACGGUUUCCCUUCGGGGCAGGGUCACAGGUGGUGCAUGGCUGUCGUCAGCUCGUGUCGUGAGAUGUUGGGUUAAGUCCCGCAACGAGCGCAACCCCCGUCGCAUGUUGCCAGCAUUUAGUUGGGGACUCAUGCGAGACUGCCGGUGACAAACCGGAGGAAGGUGGGGAUGACGUCAAGUCAUCAUGCCCCUUAUGUCCAGGGCUACACACGUGCUACAUUGGCGCGUACAGAGGGCUGCGAUACCGCGAGGUGGAGCGAAUCCCUCAAAGCGCGUCUCGGUUCGGAUUGCAGGCUGAAACUCGCCUGCAUGAAGGCGGAGUUGCUAGUAAUCGCGGAUCAGCACUGCCGCGGUGAAUACGUUCCCGGGCCUUGUACACACCGCGCAUA